This 497-nucleotide ribosomal RNA is filed under the name uncultured bacterium. RNAcentral describes it as "partial 16S ribosomal RNA". It matches the Rfam family "Bacterial small subunit ribosomal RNA", at positions 28 to 507 of the family's 1533-position model. The record is from RNAcentral.
GAUGAACGCUGGCGGCGUGCCUAAUACAUGCAAGUCGAGCGAACAGACGAGGAGCUUGCUCCUUUGACGUUAGCGGCGGACGGGUGAGUAACACGUAGGUAACCUACCUAUAAGACUGGGAUAACUUCGGGAAACCGGAGCUAAUACCGGAUAAUAUUUCGAACCGCAUGGUUCGAUAGUGAAAGAUGGCUUUGCUAUCACUUAUAGAUGGACCUGCGCCGUAUUAGCUAGUUGGUAAGGUAACGGCUUACCAAGGCAACGAUGCGUAGCCGACCUGAGAGGGUGAUCGGCCACACUGGAACUGAGACACGGUCCAGACUCCUACGGGAGGCAGCAGUAGGGAAUCUUCCGCAAUGGGCGAAAGCCUGACGGAGCAACGCCGCGUGAGUGAUGAAGGUCUUCGGAUCGUAAAACUCUGUUAUUAGGGAAGAACGAACGUGUAAGUAACUGUGCACGUCUUGACGGUACCUAAUCAGAAAGCCACGGCUAACUACGUG